CUCAACCAAGAAUAUAGAGAAAGAGCUUCUGCCCUGAGACUCAGAAAAAUAUUCUACACUGCUUCUGUUCAGUAUAGAUUUCUAGACCCUGAUCAUUGCUUAACAGAUUUUCACUGGGGGUCCUACGUCUCUGCAAUUUGUGUAUGAAUAACAGAAUAAUUUUCCUCUUUUGUUUCGCCUUUCCUGUUCCUGAAUCUAAAUAAAGAUGGCUUUUUAGUAUUAAAAGUGGAAGAAAAUUACAGGUAAUUAUCUUUGACGGUAAAAACGCUGUAAUCAGCGGGCUACAUGAAAAAUUACUCUAAUUAUGGCUGCAUUUAAGAGAAUGGAAAAAAAAACCUUCUUGUGGAUAAAAACCUUAAAUUGUCCCCAAUGUCUGCUUCAAAUUGGAUGGCACUGCAGCUGGAGGCUUUGUUCAGAAUUGAUCCUGGGGAGCUCUGAACCCAAAGUUUCACAGUAGGAAGGGGGGAAAAAGAAAAGAAAACAUUUUUCUUAAUGUAACAAUACGAAUGGUAGAAAAUGACAAGACUGAUCGGUUUUAAACCAUUCUGAAGACUGACUGAGCGUGGAAGUUGCUCAACAAAAAAAAGGAACGGGUAUAUUGGAUCUCGGUAGAGAGUAAAAAACAAUGCUUAAAAUAAAACUGGAACAGGUAUCCCAGAGGGAUUCAUUAUCUACAAACUCUCUGGAGAAAAAUCUAAGCAGAAACCAGUGGCUGGGACUUUAAAAAAAGUUCUGAUGGACCGUGGAACCUACCGCCUGGCCCGAACUGCACCAGCCCCACUACCUAAUCUCAGCCCACUGGGAUAUUUACUGGGCUAUCUACACAUGAAGGGCCAGAUCCCAAGUCCAUUGAGGUGACAUUGUAAAUAAGAAGCAGGCAGUAUUAUCUCCCAUAAAUGUAAGAAAUUUGCUGAACAAGAAGUAGGACUGACUGGACUUAUGUGGCCUUCAGGAGAACCUCCUACACACCAGUGGAGUGCCUUCACCAGAUAAAGAAGUGACCAAGGAGGAGUAAGGAUGACAUGAGUCAAGAGGUGCUUCAAUCCUCAGAAUGCAGGGUGCAGACUUUAAAAGAAAAUUAUAAAAUAUACAGGCAGGACAGAAAGGAGAGCCAAGACUGAAAUUUAAUGGGUCAGGAGCAGAUUAUAAAAGUGAUGGUGGAGCAAAUGGAGAUGUUGAAGUCCCUAAUCCUGCUGCACACUGAAUUCAUGCAUGGUUCCCCGCCCCCGAAGCCGAUACAGAACUGCUUUCCAUGCCCUCCUGAAAUUCCUCCCAUAUAUUCCUUGCAAUUUCCUGGCCUGUCUAGGUAUUCCAUUCAAUCCAUCCCUUCUGACAGCUCCAAGAUGAUAGCUGGACUCACACAUAGCUAAAAGAGCCUACACUGAUGUUCAUUAUUAUCUCCCUUCCCACCAAGCCUUUUGUGUGUGUUGUUAA
Molecule: long non-coding RNA, 1434 nt
Organism: Gopherus flavomarginatus (Mexican gopher tortoise)
Lineage: Eukaryota; Metazoa; Chordata; Testudines; Testudinidae
Exons: 6
Source: RefSeq, a predicted model, not a curated record